ACCCACAGCAUGUGAAAGCUCCUGGGGCCAGGGUUCAAACUUGUGCCACAGUAGUGACCCAAUCCACUGCAGUGACAAUGCCAGAUCCUUAACCCACUCACAAGAGAACUCCACAAGAAAAAUUUAAAGGUUAUUCUAGUAACUAAGGUAUAAGAUUAAAGACAUUAUGAAUGUAAUUUUAAAUAUAUAUUCUAGAAAUUGUACAUUGUCUUUAAAAAGAGGUGGGAGAGUGAUAGUUUAAGGCCUUUGCUCACACAACCUCUCCUCUGAAUCAACAAGUCCUAUGAAGGAGUUCCCCAUUGUGUCUCAGAGGUAAUGAACCCAGCUAGUAUCCAUAAGAACUCGGAUUCAAUCCCUGGCCCCACUCAAUGGGUUAAGGAUCUGGAGUUGCCAUGAGCUGUGGUAUAGGUUGCAGAUGUGGCUCAGAUCCUGCGUUGCUGUGGUUGUGGCACAGGCCAGCAGCUGCAGCUCCAAUUCUACCCCUACCCUGAGAGCUUUCAUAUGCUGUGAGUGUGGCCCUAAAUUAAAAAAAAAAAAAAAUUUUAUAUUCAGACUGGUAAUGAGGAUAAGUGGUAUAAACGCAUAAGAAUUAAAAUCAAAUAUAGCCCUUAAAAUUUGCUUAGAAAUGGGCAUUUGUCUUACUCUUUAGCUCUCAAAGGAUAUAUUUAAUUAUUCCAAUUGAGUAUGCUUGUAUUGUAUAGGAGAUUAGGUCUCUCAGGUGAUGCUCUGUUGUCAAUGCCAAGUAAAUCCCUUUAGAAUUAUUUAAAACAUUUGAACCAUAUGACAUAAAUAUUAUCAUUAACUUGAUGGUAGAAAUACUCCCCAUAAAAAUCAAGAAGAUAGAGUUUUAUUACUACAUCUACUUUAAAAACCAUCAUCAGGUAAUCAACUAACCUUUAUAAAAACUCUUACUGGGAAAUACAGGUGAUAAAGCAUUUAAUUUUUUUGGUAGAAAUAUUAACCUAUAGAAAUAUUUAUUUAAGUUCUUUAAGGUUUUUUCCUUACAAUUCUUAUUUUUAAAUUUUUUACAUUCCUUAAAAUCCUUCCUCUACCCCAAGGUCCAUUGUAUAAGAUCUGAACAAAUGACUAUAAUUCAUUUGCAUUACUUCUGAAUUUAAGGGAAAAAAAACCUAAAUUUAGCCAAAAAUAAAUAAGUAAAAGCAUACUUUUACAGUAAUAACAGAAGUUUUUGGAACUUCUUCUAAUAAUAUGGUUUGCCAUAUAACUUACAGCUUCACAGAUGAAAUGGAAUUUUAGCCUAUGCAAUGAAAUGGUAUUUAAAACGUUUGUGUCAGAUAUUCCCUAUUAAAGAAAUUACAUGAGGAAGGAAUAUACUUUUAAAUCAUGCUUUUAAACUGCUGAUGUAAUUUUAGGGAGAUUUUCAGUUUAUUUUUUGAUUUUUAGAGAAAUAAAAUAUCAAUGUAAAACUCAUUUCUGUCUGAUUAAUUAUCAUCAACUGGGAAAACUGAAGGAAAACUGUUAGGUGACUUCACGUUGUCAAGUGUAAGGCACUUAAUGAAAAAACAUAUUCAAAUUAUGUAGAUAUAAAAUGUUCUCUUUGUUUGUUUUAGGGUCACACCUGCAACAUACGGAAGUUCCCAGGCUAGGGGUUGAAUCGGAGCUGUAGCUGCCAGCCUAUACCACAUCCAUGGCAAUGCCAGAUCUGAGCCUCAUCUGAGACCUACACCACACUUCACAAUGCCAGAUCCCUAACCCACUGAGCCAGGCCAGGGAUGCAACCAGAAUCAGGUUUGUAACCUGCUGAGCCACAACGGGAACUCCCUAAAAUGUUUAUUUUU
Molecule: long non-coding RNA, 1799 nt
Filed under: Sus scrofa (pig)
Lineage: Eukaryota; Metazoa; Chordata; Mammalia; Artiodactyla; Suidae
Description: lncRNA (ENSSSCG00000058201.1)
Source: RNAcentral